Molecule: ribosomal RNA, 253 nt
Filed under: uncultured bacterium
Lineage: Bacteria
Description: partial 16S ribosomal RNA
Rfam family: Bacterial small subunit ribosomal RNA
Source: RNAcentral
GACGAACCGUGCGAACGUUGUUCGGAAUCACUGGGCUUAAAGGGCGCGUAGGCGGCCCCGCCAGUCCCGGGUGAAAUCUCCCGGCCCAACCGGGAAAGUGCCCGGGAUACUGCGGGGCUCGAGCGAGGCAGGGGCGGGGGGAACUUCCGGUGGAGCGGUGAAAUGCGUUGAUAUCGGAAGGAACGCCGGUGGCGAAAGCGCCCCGCUGGGCCUCUCCUGACGCUGAGGCGCGAAAGCCAGGGGAGCAAACGGG